AAGUCGUAACAAGGUUUCCGUAGGUGAACCUGCGGAAGGAUCAUUAAAUAAUCAAUAAUUUUGGCUUGUCCAUUAUUAUCUAUUUACUGUGAACUGUAUUAUUACUUGACGCUUGAGGGAUGCUCCACUGCUAUAAGGAUAGGCGGUGGGGAUGUUAACCGAGUCAUAGUCAAGCUUAGGCUUGGUAUCCUAUUAUUAUUUACCAAAAGAAUUCAGAAUUAAUAUUGUAACAUAGACCUAAAAAAUCUAUAAAACAACUUUUAACAACGGAUCUCUUGGUUCUC
This 284-nucleotide unclassified non-coding RNA is filed under the name Mucor circinelloides. RNAcentral describes it as "partial internal transcribed spacer region". The stretch from base 1 to 46 matches the Rfam family "Eukaryotic small subunit ribosomal RNA", at positions 1786 to 1831 of the family's 1831-position model. The record is from RNAcentral. Lineage: Eukaryota; Fungi; Mucoromycota; Mucoromycetes; Mucorales; Mucoraceae. RNAcentral also lists the same sequence under 1 other name.